RNAcentral lists this ribosomal RNA (411 nucleotides) under uncultured bacterium. Its description in RNAcentral is "bacterial SSU rRNA". It matches the Rfam family "Bacterial small subunit ribosomal RNA", at positions 29 to 444 of the family's 1533-position model. The record is from RNAcentral.
AUUGAACGCUGGCGGAAUGCUUUACACAUGCAAGUCGAGCGGCAGCGCGGGGGCAACCCUGGCGGCGAGCGGCGAACGGGUGAGUAACAUAUCGGAACGUACCCGUCGUGGGGGAUAACACAGCGAAAGCUGUGCUAAUACCGCAUACGACCUGAGGGUGAAAGCGGGGGAUCGCAAGACCUCGCGCGAUGGGAGCGGCCGAUAUCGGAUUAGCUUGUUGGUGAGGUAAAGGCUCACCAAGGCGACGAUCCGUAGCUGGUCUGAGAGGACGACCAGCCACACUGGAACUGAGACACGGUCCAGACUCCUACGGGAGGCAGCAGUGGGGAAUUUUGGACAAUGGGGGCAACCCUGAUCCAGCCAUUCCGCGUGAGUGAAGAAGGCCUCGGUUGUAAAGCUACUUCUAGCAGG